RNAcentral lists this ribosomal RNA (460 nucleotides) under uncultured bacterium. RNAcentral's name for it is "partial 16S ribosomal RNA". It matches the Rfam family "Bacterial small subunit ribosomal RNA", at positions 338 to 795 of the family's 1533-position model. The record is from RNAcentral.
CCUACGUGAGGCAGCAGUGAGGAAUAUUGGUCAAUGGGCUUACGCCUGAACCAGCCAAGUCGCGUGAGGGAAGACUGCCCUAUGGGUUGUAAACCUCUUUUGUCAGGGAGCAACGCCGGCUACGUGUAGCCGGACUGAGAGUACCUGAAGAAAAAGCAUCGGCUAACUCCGUGCCAGCAGCCGCGGUCAUACGGAGGAUGCGAGCGUUAUCCGGAUUUAUUGGGUUUAAAGGGUGCGUAGGCGGAAUGCCAAGUCAGCGGUAAAAUCGCGGGGCUCAACCUCGCUCCGCCGUUGAAACUGGCGUUCUUGAGUGGGCGAGAAGUACGCGGAAUGCGUGGUGUAGCGGUGAAAUGCAUAGAUAUCACGCAGAACUCCGAUUGCGAAGGCAGCAUACCGGCGCCCAACUGACGCUGAAGCACGAAAGCGUGGGUAUCGAACAGGAUUAGAUACCCGGGUAGUC